GGUGUAGCUCAAUGGUUGAGCACAUGCUUAGCAUACAUGAGGCCCUGGGUUUGGUUUCCAGCACC
Heterocephalus glaber (naked mole-rat) is the source of this 65-nucleotide non-coding RNA. Lineage: Eukaryota; Metazoa; Chordata; Mammalia; Rodentia; Bathyergidae. The record is from Rfam.